AAGAAGCCUGAUGAUGAAGGAGAAGCAAAGACUCAAAAGUUAGACAAGAAGAAGCUUGGUAAGAAAGUAAGUUUUUCAGAAGAACCGAGAGCUCCCGUGCAGAAGAAGCAAGCUACCAAGGAAUCUGGACCAAGAAAAUCAAAACUGUUCACCAUCACGAGAACCGAAACCAAGAAACAUGGGAAAGGAAGGCAAGAAGAUUCGGGGAUAGGUACCUCUAAGCUUCCUUCUAGCUUGAAGAAGCUGGAGCUAGAAUGUUACCCUGAAAAGGAACCUCCGGUUUGGUUAAACCCCAAAACACUUG
Molecule: long non-coding RNA, 304 nt
Filed under: Brassica rapa (field mustard)
Lineage: Eukaryota; Viridiplantae; Streptophyta; Magnoliopsida; Brassicales; Brassicaceae
Description: long non-coding RNA (BRAP_LNC004730)
Source: RNAcentral